GGGAUGGCCUUGAAGUGAAAGGCGAGGUUGCUGUAAGCGGCUAAUCAUAGGCUGUGGGGACACUCUACUAUAUUCUAUUCCCCGAGCAGGAGAUCGUGAACGAGGUGAAUUUCUGGGUGACUGCUUAGGUGACGGUCGAGGUGAAUUGCGUGGUGAUGGUGAAAACCUGUUAACAGCAGGGUAUACUGCAUGAUGCAUAUUGUCAUCUUCAUCAUCUAAACUUUGUGCAUCAAGUUCCUGAUCACUAAAAGUACCCCGUCUUGUAGAAUUGCAAGAUGAACCAGAACUGCGCCGAGACGUGGUGGCUGCAUAUUCUUGCCGGAGACCUGGCAACAA
This 336-nucleotide long non-coding RNA is filed under the name Homo sapiens (human). RNAcentral's name for it is "HSALNT0072038". The record is from RNAcentral. Lineage: Eukaryota; Metazoa; Chordata; Mammalia; Primates; Hominidae.